UGGGGAAUAUUGGGCAAUGGGCGCAAGCCUGACCCAGCAACGCCGCGUGAGGGAAGAAGGCCUUCGGGUUGUAAACCUCUGUCCUUGGGGACGAAAAAAAUGACGGUACCCAAGGAGGAAGCUCCGGCUAACUACGUGCCAGCAGCCGCGGUAAUACGUAGGGAGCGAGCGUUGUCCGGAAUUACUGGGCGUAAAGGGUGCGUAGGUGGCCAUGCAAGUCAGAUGUGAAAUCCCCGGGCUUAACUCGGGUGCUGCAUUUGAAACUGCGUGGCUUGAGUGCAGGAGAGGAAAGUGGAAUUCCUAGUGUAGCGGUGAAAUGCGUAGAUAUUAGGAGGAACACCAGUGGCGAAGGCGGCUUUCUGGACUGUUACUGACACUGAGGCACGAAAGCGUGGGGAGCAAACA
RNAcentral lists this ribosomal RNA (405 nucleotides) under uncultured prokaryote. Its description in RNAcentral is "bacterial SSU rRNA". It matches the Rfam family "Bacterial small subunit ribosomal RNA", at positions 355 to 774 of the family's 1533-position model. The record is from RNAcentral.